Danio rerio (zebrafish) is the source of this 74-nucleotide non-coding RNA. The record is from Rfam. NCBI's taxonomy places the organism in Eukaryota, Metazoa, Chordata, Actinopteri, Cypriniformes, Danionidae.
GGUGCUGUGGCUUAGUUAGUUAAAGUUCCUGUCUUGUAGACAGGAGGUCUUGAGUUCGAAUCCCAGCAGUUCCU